GUCGUGGUUGCCGAGUGCUUAAGGUGUUAGACUUGAAAUCAAAUGGGCUCUCUCCGCACAGGUUCGAAUCCUGUCCACAACU
RNAcentral lists this transfer RNA (82 nucleotides) under Dreissena polymorpha. It matches the Rfam family "tRNA". Rfam says of the family: Transfer RNA (tRNA) molecules are approximately 80 nucleotides in length. The record is from Rfam by way of RNAcentral. Lineage: Eukaryota; Metazoa; Mollusca; Bivalvia; Myida; Dreissenidae.